This 468-nucleotide ribosomal RNA is filed under the name uncultured bacterium. Its description in RNAcentral is "partial 16S ribosomal RNA". It matches the Rfam family "Bacterial small subunit ribosomal RNA", at positions 28 to 507 of the family's 1533-position model. The record is from RNAcentral.
GACGAACGCUGGCGGCGUGCUUAACACAUGCAAGUCGAACAGAAAGGCCCUGCUUUUGUGGGGUGCUCGAGUGGCGAACGGGUGAGUAACACGUGAGUAACCUGCCCUUGACUUUGGGAUAACUUCAGGCAACUGGGGCUAAUACCGGAUAGGAGCUCCUGCUGCAUGGUGGGGGUUGGAAAGUUUCGGCGGUUGGGGAUGGACUCGCGGCUUAUCAGCUUGUUGGUGGGGUAGUGGCUUACCAAGGCUUUGACGGGUAGCCGGCCUGAGAGGGUGACCGGCCACAUUGGGACUGAGAUACGGCCCAGACUCCUACGGGAGGCAGCAGUGGGGAAUAUUGCACAAUGGGCGGAAGCCUGAUGCAGCAACGCCGCGUGCGGGAUGACGGCCUUCGGGUUGUAAACCGCUUUCGCCUGUGACGAAGCGUGAGUGACGGUAAUGGGUAAAGAAGCACCGGCUAACUACGUG